RNAcentral lists this ribosomal RNA (277 nucleotides) under uncultured Bacillus sp. RNAcentral describes it as "partial 16S ribosomal RNA". It matches the Rfam family "Bacterial small subunit ribosomal RNA", at positions 1106 to 1382 of the family's 1533-position model. The record is from RNAcentral. Lineage: Bacteria; Bacillati; Bacillota; Bacilli; Caryophanales; Bacillaceae.
UACGUUUAGUUUGCUAACGCGUGAAGGCGAGCACUCUAGACGAACUGCCGUUGACAAAACGGAGGAAGGUGGGAUGACGUCAAAUCAUCAUGCCCCUUAUGUUCUGGGCUACACACGUGCUACAAUGGCCGGUACAGACGGACGCAAAGCCGCGAGGUGGAGCAAAUCCUAAAAAGCCGGUCUCAGUUCGGAUUGCAGGCUGCAAUUCGCCUGCAUGAAGUCGGAAUCGCUAGUAAUCGCAGGUCAGCAUACUGCGGUGAAUACGUUCCCGGGCCUU